Molecule: ribosomal RNA, 719 nt
Filed under: uncultured Planctomycetota bacterium
Lineage: Bacteria; Pseudomonadati; Planctomycetota
Description: bacterial SSU rRNA
Rfam family: Bacterial small subunit ribosomal RNA
Source: RNAcentral
UGCAAGUCGAACGCGAAAGGCGCUUUCGGGUGCCGAGUAGAGUGGCGAACGGGUGAGUAAUGCAUGGAUAACCUGUCCCUGAGAGGGGAAUAACUUCUCGAAAGGGGAGCUAAUACCCCGUAAUGUUUCGUGUCUGCGGGUGCGAAACCAAAAGAUAGCCUCUGCAUGCAAGCUUUCGCUCAGGGAGGGGUUCAUGUCCUAUUAGCUUGUUGGUGAGGUAACGGCUCACCAAGGCGACGAUGGGUAGCCGGCCUGAGAGGGUGUCCGGCCACACUGGGACUGAGACACUGCCCAGACUCCUACGGGAGGCUGCAGUCGAGAAUCUUCCGCAAUGCGCGCAAGCGUGACGGAGCGACGCCGCGUGGGCGACGAAGGCCUUCGGGUUGUAAAGCCCUGUUUCCCACUAUGAAUGGCAGGCGGUAAAUAGCUGUCCUGUUUGACGUAAGUGGGGGAGGAAGCACCGGCUAAAUACGUGCCAGCAGCCGCGGUAAUACGUAUGGUGCGAACGUUGUUCGGAAUCACUGGGCAUAAAGAGCACGUAGGCGGUCUGGUUAGUCUGUCUGUGAAAUCCCUCGGCUUAACCGAGGAACUGCAGCGGAUACUGCCGGACUGGAGUACAGGAGGGGAGAGUGGAAUUCCUGGUGGAGCGGUGAAAUGCGUAGAUAUCAGGAGGAACGCCGGUGGCGAAAGCGACUCUCUGGCCUGUUACUGACGCUGAG